This is an RNA transcript of Bubalus bubalis (water buffalo), 4908 nucleotides long. It is a transcript of the gene named killer cell lectin like receptor G2, with no coding region annotated. The transcript has 9 exons. The record is from RefSeq and is a predicted model, not a curated record. NCBI's taxonomy places the organism in Eukaryota, Metazoa, Chordata, Mammalia, Artiodactyla, Bovidae.
GGGAGGAGAAGUUAACCUGGGCCCAGGUGCGUCCCGCUCGGCAUCUCUCCGCUCCUCUGCGCACAGGAUGGAGGGUGCCCGGGCGGCGUGGGGGGCGUCGAAGGAAGACCGAGCCGGAGCCGAGUUCGAAAUGGAUUCCUUGGGAAACCAGGUCCCGGAGCUGGAGCAGCAGCAGGAUCCCGCGGAGGAAAGACGCCCUGAGAGUCCUGAGAACAGCUUGAGUCUGGCCCCCGCCAAAGAGGCGGCGGGCACGGGCCAGGACCUGUCGGGCGGGAAGAUGCUGCCUUUGCCUCGCCCCGCCCCCCUGCGAUUGCUGCCACCCAGCCUGGGCUAUGGCGCCUUCCGCCGCCAGGCGUCGACCGGCCCGGAGCCACCGUCUCCGGACCCCGCCGCGGCCGAGCAGCCCCGGGACGCCGAGACGCCGGAGACCGAGCUGAUACCCAAGGCAGCGCCGGGUGAGCCAGCUCCGGGCGCCUGGACCCCGGUGGAACUGCAGGUAGACGUGCGCGUGAAGUCUGUGGGCACGGCCGGCGGCAGCCGCGCGCCCUCGCCGGCGCCCUCCACGCGCUUCCUCACCGUCCCGGUGCCCGAGUCCCCGGGCUUCUCCCGCCACGCCUCCCCCGCGCACACCCUCCUGCGGCGGACCCCGUCCCCGGGAGGCACGUGGGGCCGCGGCACGCCGCCGGCAGCCGCCGGGACUGAGCGCGGCCUCGACGCCGAGGGCUGCGCCACUCCCGCGGAGAGGCGUGCAGAGUCCUCGGGCUCCCCUAUGUGCCGCUGCCGCUGCCGGGAGGACUCCGUGCUCCUGCCCCACGCCGAGCUGGACGGAGACAAGAAGAUGUCCCGGAUCAUAAAGCGCGUAGGGCUGCCCAUGUACAUGAGGUCCCUGCGCUGGGCCCUGGCAGUCAUGGCCGUGCUCCUGGCAGUGUUGGCGGUGGCUGUUGUGGCCUUGGCCUCGAAAACAGGGAUCAGAUGCCGACCAUGCCCCCAGGGCUGGAUGUGGUCCGAGGGGCAGUGCUACUACCUCGCUGCCGAAGCUGAGGCCUGGGAGACCAGCCAGGCUUUCUGCUCAGCCCACCAGGCUACCCUCCCCCUGCUGAGACACACCCAGUUGUUCAGAGUCGCCUGUUGGGGGGACUUCCCUGAUGGCUCAGUGGUAAAGAAUCUGCCUGCCAAUGCAGGGGACACAGGUUCGAGCCCUGGCCUGGGAGGAUCCUACAUGCCAUGGAGCAAUUAAGCCUGAGCACCCCACAGCCUGUGCUCUGCAACUGGAGAAGUCACCGCAAUGAGAAGCCCGUGAACCACAACAUACAGUAACUCCCGCUCUCUGCAACUAGAGAAAACCCAUGUGUGCAGCAAUGAAGACCCAGCCCAGCCAAAAAUAAAAGAUCGCAGAAUGGUGCUGGAUAAAACUCAUGAGGAGGCAGUUAUGUAGCCCUGACAAGCCGGCGUGGGAGGCUAGGGAAGAGCUGAACCAGGGUGAAGACCCUACAAGGGACUUGGCAAAAGGCGUAAGUUCCCCAGGAAACUCUUAGAGGAGGAGAUAAUGAACCUCUACCCUGAAAUCUUAGAAGCGUAAACAUCUAGAAGACCAGUGCCAUCCUUGCUGGACUAGACCUGAGGAACACAAUGGGAAAGAGAGACCCUGCUGCAGAAGGGAAACAAACCUUGCCCAAGGUCAUCCAAACCUUGUCUGGUUCCAUAGCCCUGACACUGACUUCUCUGAAUGGGCAAGUGAGGCCCUAGUAGAUCUUAAGUUGCUUUCCAGAAAGAAGCUGUGAGAAGGAAACUAAGGUGAACAAGACUGCUGCAGUGCUGGCUUUGGUUAAACAAAACUCUUCAGAAGGUAAGUUCCUUUAAUAACUUGUUAGGUUACCAGAAUGACUGUUCUUUUGACCUCCCGGGCUUGGAAGAACAAUGAUUAGGAUUUCUCAGACUCUGGCAAAAGCAGGUACUCUCUCUAGCUGUUGGAUAUGUUACUCCAAACCUUUUUAUAUAUUUGAUCAUGCUGACCCCCUUAGUUAUGCCUGUCAGCAAUUUUCCACCACCUCUGCCUUCACUGACACUUAGGAAAAGAGCCCUCAGAUCUUAAGGUCGGGUUGGACUAAUCAACCCAAUUUCCAGUCCCCCGGAAGCUGAAACUUGGUCCUCUCCUUGUGUCCUCAAAUAACCCUGGGUGUCUUUCCCCUUUAAGAGUCCACUUGGUCAGAAUAUUGUAGCGAUCAUACUUAAUCUUCCCAGCCCAUGUCCCUUCCAUAUUUAGUAUCUAAGUGUUUCAGUUAAACUGGUUAACAACUGAGGCACUUUAGGUCAAAGUAAGCCACUGACCCCUGACUUGAUGUGUGAAGUUUAUCAGUAUGUCUCGCACUUACAUUUUGUGUGCUUUGCCCUCCCCUCCCCACCAAGGUACAUCUUUUUGAUGACCAACUUUGGCCUAUAAAUGCUGUGACAGCUGGCACAUAGGUGCCGUUUGCUUACUGGGGUCAAAAUGUUAACUUGAAAUCAGGAGUAAGAGUAUUUUCAAAUGAGUGCUAAUAGCCUCAUUACUAAGUCCUUGUUAGGUCUACACACCCCUUAUCAGCAAAAAGUAUUCAGAGUGGGCGCUGCCAUUCCUUCCUCAAGACUAAGGAACAAGGGACUUUCUCAAUGGAUGAGUGGUUAAGAAAAUGCGUGUCCACUGCAGGAGAAACGAGUUUGAUCCUUAUUCAGGGAACUAAGCUCCCAGAGCCGUGUGGUACAGUCAAAAAACUAAAUUUUUAACACUUAAAUAAAAGAUUGAAGAAUGAUCCAAAGAUGCAGUGGGCUGAAAUGGUGCAUGAGGAUUAGUCAAAUCUGCUUUACCUGCCUCACUGCUCGCGGUUAACAUCUGUAUUUUCCUAGGAGGCCAGGAGCCUGAACACUAAGAUGGCUGGCUGGGCUCCUUCCCGGGCACUUGGGAGUCCCAACCGCACCUGGUGCGAGUGAACUGGUUAAGGCUGGCGAGAACCACCCCCAACCCACCUCCAGCGGAGCACGCUCAGACACCUGCCUGGUGACCUUUCCAACCUGCAGAGGCCUGUAGCUUAGUUCCACUAGUGCAGAAUGACCCCUGCACAUUUUCCAAUCACCUUUCCCCGUGCACCCCACACCUCCCUGCUUCUUUUUAUUGAAGUACUGCUGAUUUACAAUGUUGUGUUAAUUACUGCUGUAUAGCAAAGUGAUCUGGUUAUACAUACAUAUUUAAUACUUUUCCAUUAUGGUUUAUCAUAGGGUAUUGAAUGCAGUUCUCUGUGCUAUACAAUAGGGCUUUGUUCAUAAAAGCUUACAGGGAAUUCCCUGGCGGUCCAGUGGUUAAGACUCCACGCUACCACUGCAGGGGGCCUGGGUCUGAUCCCUCGUCGCUGAGUUAAGACCCCAAGAGCCAUCCAGUGCAGCCAAAAAACCCCCAAAAACCCCAAGCAACCAAACAAAAACCAACCUUCUACUCCAUCUGUCUUGAUCUUUUAUGGUUCCAUAUAAUUUUAGGACUGUUCUAGUUCUGUGAGAAACAUCAUGAGUAAUUUGACAGAACACUGAACCUGCAGAAUGCUUUGUGCAGAAUGGGUAUUUUAACAAUGUCAAUUCUUCCAAGGCAAGGCAUGCUGCCCUGCUUCAUAACUCAUCAUCCUAUCAAUACUCUGACACCUUUGGGGUGGCCGGUUUAAGAUCUGUUCUCCCAUCUCCUCACUCAGCUGACUUGCCAAGAAACCCUCUUUUGCCUUAAACCUUGGCAUUUCAGCAUUUUGGUUCCCUGUGUGUCAGGCAAGAUGAAGCUGGUUUGGGAACAGUUCAUCUGGGUUAUCUGGUGCUACCCUGAGAAUGGAGCUGCCACAUGGAACUCAAGCAGGUGAGUUUUGAGUGAUCUCCUUGUAUAAGGCUGAUGGAGCUGGGUCUUCUGUUACAAGCAGUCAGCAGUACCCAGGUACAGGAGUGACCCUAGAAGCCUCUCCCAGAGCAGUAUCAGCAGAUUCAGGUGUGGGCGCUUCCUACAAGGCUUCACUUGGCUGAAUCCUCGACCGAGAGCCCAGUUCUGCGAGUCUGAAUGCCUUACUUGCAGCCUGAACCCUGUUAAGCUGUCGGUUUGGUUUGACCCUUGGUGUAUUUGUAGACCCCAAACCUCUGACAUCCUGGUCUCUGCCGACACCUGGAAAACAUGGAGGCCCACCUUGAAGUUCAGAACACCUGCUGCCCCAAUUACCCAAGUCCUGCUCACCUGUGGCCCCAGCACUACUCACUCCACUGGCAGUCCCAUGCCUGGCCCUCCAAGUCAGCCUCUGCCACCAAACCUCUGUUCUCAGCCCUCUCCUGCCUUCCCUAACUCUGCUGAAGGUCUGGUCCUUCUCUACAGUGGUUGUUACAGUCCUGAAGCAGCUGGAAUAUAAUCAGCAAGGGCCCAGGUGGAGCAACAAUUCAGCUUGAAUCUCUGAAUGGAAUAUGGAGAAAGAAGACUGAGAUGCUGCCUAAGAAUAAGGACAUGUACUAAGCCCAGAGAAAUGAUGACAAACUAUGAGAUGAGUAUCAACUAACAUUUUGCCAGAGGUUACAAUGUCCUGUACAGAAGCAAUUUCUACUCAGUAUACCAGUAAUUCUGAUGAAACAGCUACUCUUCUACUAAGUAGAUAAGGAGAGACAGGAGGGGUAACUAGAUAAUUUGGCCAAGGCCCUUUUCAUCCAAGUAGUCUGACUCUGAAGUCUGCACUGUAUGCACCUGAACACAGCAGAAAAAUGCACAUGGUCCUCGUUUACCAAGGGUGGAAGUUCCCAGCAAAAGCCACAAGCAGACUCUACUGAGGCCAAUACUUCACAGUUGAAGCAGAAGAAAGCCAAGUCAUAAAAGACCUUUAACUGGGAUUUUUACUUUGAAAUUAAAACUGGUACUAUGUAGCAAUA